This 476-nucleotide ribosomal RNA is filed under the name uncultured bacterium. RNAcentral's name for it is "partial 16S ribosomal RNA". It matches the Rfam family "Bacterial small subunit ribosomal RNA", at positions 28 to 507 of the family's 1533-position model. The record is from RNAcentral.
GAUGAACGCUAGCGGCAGGCCUAACACAUGCAAGUCGAGGGAGAAGCCUUUCGGGGCAGCAACCGGCGCACGGGUGCGUACCGCGUAUGCAACCUACCUUUCACAGGGGGAUAGCCCGAAGAAAUUUGGAUUAAUACCCCAUAAUAUUGUUGGAUGGCAUCAUCUGAUAAUUAAAACUGCGGUGGUGAAAGAUGGGCAUGCGUCCUAUUAGCUAGUUGGAGUGGUAACGGCACCCCAAGGCUACGAUAGGUAGGGGUCCUGAGAGGGAGAUCCCCCACACUGGUACUGAGACAGGGACCAGACUCCUACGGGAGGCAGCAGUGAGGAAUAUUGGUCAAUGGUCGGAAGACUGAACCAGCCAUGCCGCGUGCAGGAAGAAUGCCUUAUGGGUUGUAAACUGCUUUUAUAUGGGAAGAAUAAGGUGUACGUGUACAUUGAUGACGGUACCAUAUGAAUAAGCAUCGGCUAACUCCGUG